Molecule: long non-coding RNA, 1533 nt
Organism: Lutra lutra (Eurasian river otter)
Lineage: Eukaryota; Metazoa; Chordata; Mammalia; Carnivora; Mustelidae
Exons: 3
Source: RefSeq, a predicted model, not a curated record
CCUCCCUGGGAUUCCACGGGCCGCUGUGUGAUUUUGUGCCUGUGUGUACUUGGCAUACAGGAAGGCACACCCUUGUGCUGUAAAGUUCAGUGGGUUUGACAAAAGCAUCAUACCAUCCAUCCAGUCACGGGGCCAGUAGUACGCAGAAUGCUGUCACUGUCCUAAAAUGUGCCCUGCCUCCACCUAGUCGGUCCUUCCUCCCGUCUCCCGAGCCCGUGGCAACCGCCGAUCUUUUGAACCAGUUCUCUAAGUUUGCCUUGCCCAGACGCCGUGGACCUGGAAUCAGACGUUUCAGUAACACUAAUGAAACUGUCCUAUGGAAGAGACAUGCAGAAAGGGAAGAAUGAAGCAUUCCCCAAGAGAGCACUUCCCUGGUCUCUUUACAGAUGUUGGAACAUAACAGGCCAUCUCUUUGGGGAAGAUUCUGGCUCCUGAAUCCAGAUCUGGAUCUCUGAAGAGCUUCAUUCAUACAAUUGAAACCAAGAAUAAUUCUUCACUUUGUAAAGGAUGAAUCAAGUGUGUUUCAAGCUCAUUUCAAAGAGAGUUUAAUUGCUGAAAAUAUACAAGACACGUUAUACUUGAGGGCUGUAGACAAGUGCAGAAUUUAUAAUAUGACUCUAGGAGAACAGAGUGCUGUAGAGAUGCUGUCAGCUUUCACCUGUGUGUUCUGCUGUGUUAUGUCCUGCCUUAUCACACAGGCCUUAUUAAAUUUGACUAUUUGGUGGUAACUGUGGAAACUGGGAGAUGUAUUCACAUUCAUCUCUGGGUGCAUGUGUGAGAAAGGUGACACUUUCUGAGUAAUAAAGCUUUGAACCCAAAAAGCAAUUAUCACCAGUAAGAGUACUCUGGUUCCAUGUUUCCUGCUGUUUAUUCAGGGAUGGCAAGGGAUUUUGAAAGCAGAAAAAGUUUGCCAAUUUAAAUAUUCCGGUUUAAAAAAUGUAAACAACCUGAAAAGGAUCAUAACUUGCAGACUAGUUUCCAGUGUGUAAUCUGAGAAUCUGUAUUGGAGAUAGAAGACAGUAACUCUUUAGGGAUGUUUUAAAAUUUUGCUCACAACUGUGAACUCCUUCUUGCUGAAAUCUAGGAGUGCCAUAUGGGUGAAUGAAACCAAAACUGCUGUUAGGUUUACUCAACUAAAGGAGAGGUCUCACUGGCAAGGAAGGAUGAAAUUCAAGCAAAAAUCUAGUCUCCAAUCAGUUUACGUGGCUCCAGAGGUGAAGAGAAAGUGAAGUUUGUGGGCAGCAAGUCACUGUUGGAAAGUGUCCUCUCUGAGGAAGGCAGUAAAGGCUCAUGAGUGCAUUCUGUAUCGCUCUUCUCUUCACUCCCAGUCCUUAUCUUAGUCAUGCUCUCAGCAUCUCACUUCUGGACAGAUAGGAUAUGUUCUUUUUCUACUGGUCGGUCUCUUUGCCUCAAGCUAUUCCCUGACCUCUGCCCUGCAGCAGGAGCAGUGCCUUGGAAUGCCUGGCUAGUCAAGACUCAACCAUGCUUGAAAAUCUUCACUGGCCCCCAGGUAAGUUUGUACUACAAGCCUGU